GACGAACGCUGGCGGCGUGCCUAAUACAUGCAAGUUGAGCGCUGAAGGUUGGUACUUGUACCAACUGGAUGAGCAGCGAACGGGUGAGUAACGCGUGGGGAAUCUGCCUUUGAGCGGGGGACAACAUUUGGAAACGAAUGCUAAUACCGCAUAAAAACUUUAAACACAAGUUUUAAGUUUGAAAGAUGCAAUUGCAUCACUCAAAGAUGAUCCCGCGUUGUAUUAGCUAGUUGGUGAGGUAAAGGCUCACCAAGGCGAUGAUACAUAGCCGACCUGAGAGGGUGAUCGGCCACAUUGGGACUGAGACACGGCCCAAACUCCUACGGGAGGCAGCAGUAGGGAAUCUUCGGCAAUGGACGAAAGUCUGACCGAGCAACGCCGCGUGAGUGAAGAAGGUGUUCGGAUCGUAAAACUCUGUUGGUAGAGAAGAACGUUGGUGAGAGUGGAAAGCUCAUCAAGUGACGGUAACUACCCAGAAGGGACGGCUAACUACGUG
Molecule: ribosomal RNA, 496 nt
Filed under: uncultured bacterium
Lineage: Bacteria
Description: partial 16S ribosomal RNA
Rfam family: Bacterial small subunit ribosomal RNA
Source: RNAcentral